Molecule: long non-coding RNA, 972 nt
Filed under: Helianthus annuus (common sunflower)
Lineage: Eukaryota; Viridiplantae; Streptophyta; Magnoliopsida; Asterales; Asteraceae
Description: hypothetical non coding rna
Source: RNAcentral
UUUUCUACGCCAUUUUUCCAAACAAAUUCCACUCUAACAAACUCACUCUCUCUCUCAUUCUCUCUCUCAUCAUCCUCCUCCUCUUACACCACCGCCGCCGCUGCACCGCCGGCACUCCGGCCAUAGGUGGUGGUGGCAAAUGGUGGAGGCUCACGCUUUUUUUGCUCCUUGCGCCUAGGCCCCAGGCGAGGCCUAUGCGCCUUGGGUGUGCCUAACGCCUUCAAUAACUAUGGAUUUCACAACUAGCCAGCUUUGCAAAACAAUUUGCUAAGCAUAUUUCCACCAUGUUAUUGUUCAUGAUAGAAAAAUAUGCAUAUACACCCAAUGCUUACACCAAAAAACACAUAUACACAACAUGGACAAAUAAACAUGCCGUAGAACUGUUUAGGAUACACCAUUGCAGCAAGCAUGUAUGAUAGUAUGAUAUGUAUCUCAAUUGAUGAAGCUGUAUGAAACUCACAUCUGGCCCAAACAAUAAUGUGCCUAUUUUUUUUUCCUUGCACAAUUUUUGUAUAAUAUAAAUACAAACACACACACAUGGGGCGUUUUUUAUAACCAAUAAUAUGUUGAGAACUACGAGAACAACAUAAUAUACUUGUACCUUUUGCGCCUGAUCCAUCAUCUCUAUAAAUCAUCAAUCAAUGCACUACGUACAAGUACUUUAUGUGAUUCUAGCAGUUCUCAACAUAAAAUUGGUUCUGAAAAGAACGCGUCCCUAUAAUGCAUUUCUACGUGGUGCUCUAAAUGUGAUUCAUAAGACGCCCACUUUCUCACUCCCAUUACUUUGAUUAGGCCGCGGGGUGUGGGGGGCUUGGGUUGGGGGCAUUGCUCGACACUUGGCGAGUGUGGGCUCCACCAGACCACCCCUAAAAAGUGGGGUGUGGAAGCGGUGUGGCUAGGCCGGCGUGGGGUGAAAUGUGGAUUUUUUAUAUAGUUGACAUUUAUAUAAUAAAACACAAACUUAUAUUAAUU